This is a non-coding RNA of Macaca mulatta (Rhesus monkey), 4479 nucleotides long. NCBI's taxonomy places the organism in Eukaryota, Metazoa, Chordata, Mammalia, Primates, Cercopithecidae. The record is from RefSeq and is a predicted model, not a curated record.
GAGCUACUCUUCCCCGAAGCUGCAGAGGACAACUGGUUCCACCCACGCUGCCCUGCCUAGAUUGCACAGUUAUGACCGCCUCGUUGCAGCUCGUUCCUAAAUUAGCUGCGCCUUUGCUGGGUCCGAAACCCAGAUGAUAGGCUCCGUGGUGGUCUUAAAAUAUAUCCACAAAUUCUCUGACAUCCUCUCUUCAAGAAGUGGAGCUUAAUUCCCUUUCCUUUGAGUGCAGACCACUCUGGGAGAAACCAACAGCUAUGUCAUGGGGAAAUUCAAACCACCUAUGGAGCGAGGCUCACAUGAAUUCUGCAAGUCUGCUACAGUGACAUUUCUGGUUAGGAGUCAGUGUGGAUGGGGCACUGAGCAAUAAGAAUGAAUGAAGAUGGCUGAAGCUGGAGUUUUUCUCUGAAGCAACCACCUGUUGGAAACUUCAUGUCGAAGAUGCCUGAGUAAUACGACAGAGGGAGUCUGGGUCCCUGGUAGAUAUUCCAGAUCUGGGUGUUCAUGGUGAUAUGAGAAAGCAGUAAACUUCAGUUUUGCCUAAAUAGCUGUUACUUGGGGCAUUCUGUCAUUUACGGACAAAUCUGACCUGGAUUAAUACACCUCCGCUGGGUACCAAGACUGAUCUAAUAGUCAAAAAGGUUUCAUUCCGUCUAGAUGUUUCUCUAGAACAGGACCUAAAGAAGUUCUUUAGCUGAAUUUCUUAUGGAAGUAAUAGGAGAGUUCCUUGUGCUUCAUUAAAUGUUGUAUUGGUGUAACUGCCCAGUGGGUUCUUCCUGCCUGCUAUACAAACAAAAUCAAUUCAGAGACCAUGGCAUUUCAGCAAAGAAAGAGUUUAAUUGACAUGAGGCCAGCCAUUGCUAUGUGGGAGAUGGAGUUAUUAUUCAAAUCAAUCUCUUCAAGAAUUUUAUGGCUGGAGUUUUUCAAAGGUAGUUUUGGGGAAAGGGUGGGGGUCGCGAGGCAAUGGGUGCUUGCUGCUGAUUGGCUGAGGGUGCAAUCAUAGGGGUGUGGAAAUGGUCUUCCUGUGCACUUGACUUGCUUCUGGGUGGGGCCACAGAAGCUAGUGUUUGGUGGGUUUAGGUGGGGCCUUUGGUUAUGAAACAUGAAAAAACCCUUAAAAGAUAUCUCAAAAGGCCAAUCAUAGGUUCUAAAAUAGUGAUGCUAUCUGCAGGAGUAAUUGGGGAAGUUGCAUAUUUUGUAAUCUCCAGAAUAAUGGCUGGCAAUCCUUUAUGUGUGCACCUUAGCAGAAUUCAGGCUCCUCUGUUCUCUUAGUCUGGUGGUCUUUCCUUUGCUUUACAAAGGCAGUUGAGUUUAUGGGAAGGACUACUAUCACUUAAACUGUAAACUAAAUGUUUCCCAAAGUUAGCUUCACCCAAGUCCAGGAAUAAUUAAGGACAGCUUGAAGGGUAAAGGCAAAACUGGGUGGCUAGAUCGGAUCUCCCCCACUGCCAGUAUUUUCUUACUGAUACAGUUUUUGCAAAAGUGGUUUCAUAGGUAUAACAUCAUAAAUCUGAAGCUUUUCAAACAUUGAAAGCUCAAACCAAAUGGCCCUUCUCAACUGCCUGUGACAGACACUGUCUGUCUUAGAAGUGUUUAGUAGAAAUGUAUUAAAAAGAUACUAAGGACACCCAAAAGACUAGCAACUGAAGUUGCACGUUAUCCACUCACAUUUCAAAAGGAUUAUCUACUCAUCCUCUAUAAGGAGGGGAAAGGAUGUACUAGGUUCCACAAAUCAGCCCCAGUGCUGACAUUGCCCCAGUAACAUAUCUGAAAGCUCACACGCUCUGAUUAGAAAAACAAUGUAGGAUCUAUUGAAUAUGUCUACGUUUCCCACUUUUGAUCAUUACUAAUUACCAAUAAAGAUUGUGUGUGUGGCAUUCUAUAGGUUCUGAAAACAAGGUAUGUAUGCUCUAUAGUUUGGAACCAACCUUCAUCACAAGAUGACUAACUUGAUUAGGUAGUAUAAGAGAUGUCCCAAAUGAGUGAAAUAGAUAUAUUUAUUGGAGCAAUUUAGAGGAAGUGAUAAUUAUAGGAGGGUGAGGUGUGGGUGGUCAGUAGUACUUGAUGGAAGGCUGGAAACAUAAAAUUUAGCCUAGCAAAAAUGAAAUUUAACUUACAAAUAUAGCAUCCUGAUCUUGAAUCUGAACAACCAACUGUAUAGGUGCAAGGUAAGAACGUGUGGGUUAUCUCCAACUCAUUUGUAAUACUGUUUUUAAUUAACAAGACGUUUAAAUAAUGCAACAAUUUAAUGGGGCUGAGAAAAAAGUCUAACACAGUCAGGUAAAGUACUUGUAAUAAUUACACAGAACAAGAAUAAUGAUAAUCCAGACCAUCUGUAUUGGUCACACCACACAUGGAUUAUUGUUUUCAGCUCUGGAAACCACAAUUUGAGGAAAGUUACAGAUAAACUGGGACAUUUACAAUUGAGAGGGAUCAGAAUAAUGAGAGGAUACUGAGUCUCACAGUGCUUUAACUAGCCAGAGAAUAAAGAUUCAGAGGUUGAGAGGCUCACUCAAUAUUACCAAUGGCUUUAUAACCUAAUUACUUAGAGUUGUCCUGGGAUAAAUUGAGUGGUAAAUUGUUACUAGAGGUAUUUAAACCUGAGCAUGACCACUGGGCAAGGACGUUGUAGGGGAUGAUGAAGGAUAUAAAGGGUGCUAGGUGUUCUUUUUUGCUUGUGAGUAAACAGAAACCUACUUGCGCUUCUUUAGGAGUGGGGAAAGUGGUGAUUAGAACAAUUUUUGUAAUGAAUCUAGGACUAGAAAAUUUGUCAAGAUUCCAGGUAUCCCUAGAUUUUUCUUUUCUCUGUCUAUCAUGGCCAGCAUGAUCUUUUUCUCAUGGAAUCUUAGCUUUUUUUCUGUAGGUCUACUUCAUUAUUCUCUUGCAACUGACUGGUUAGUCACUGAGUUCUCUGGGGAAAAUUCCAGAGCAAGUGAGUCUGACAGGCUUAGCUACAUACCUUUGCCUCCAUUGAGCACAGCUUGUUGAUCCACACCUCCUCCUAGGAGGCUGCCAGCUGUUAAAAGAUAAACUUAAGCACAUUAACAUUUUAAAGAGUUUAUUUGAGCAGACAGUGAUUCAUGAAUUGACAGUGCCAAAGCACAACCAGGUUGGGCUCCACUGAAGGGGAAUAAGGGAAAAAGUUUUAUCAGGUGUUCUCGGAAGCAAGACAAAGAAAAUAUUUGAUUGGCUAAAGUAGCCUUAAAGUCCCUAGUUAGAGGUUAGUUGGCAGUUUCUGAUUGGUUAAGAUUAAGUUCCAUUUUCCUAGGCUAUGACCAUUCCCUCUGAGCUGGGUUUGAGUUCAUAUGUGAUGAACUCAGGGGGCUAGAGUCACCUCAGUUUGAUGGUUUCCCAAUUAAUUAUUUUAACACAGCUUAGGGAUGAGCUCUUCUUGGGCUAGUUACCAAUCUCUCAUCCAGUCAAUUGGCCAUUGUGCCAGCUACAGUGACUUCCCUACAAAGCAAGGGGAGUGGAAUGAAGAAAACAGCUUGAGCUGAAGGUGGGUUUGAGCAGUGGCCUGCAGUGUGGUUCAUAUACAUGGAAAUACUAGAUGGCAUUAAAAUUCCUCUACCACUUGUAAUUCCUCAAUUCCAUGAUGCUAGUGGUAUUGGUGGGUCUUUGUUUUCAGAUCUCCCAAGAUGGUGGCGGCUGCUCCCAACAUGGCAGCAAGCUUUUUGUUCUCUGACCUGGGGUUCUUGGCCUCACAGAUUCCAAAGAAUGGAACCUUGGGCCAUGCGGUGAGUGCUAAAGCUCUAUGAGAAGCCAUGGGUCACAGAAGAGAACCAUGGAACCCAGCGACUAGUAUUCGGCGACUAGGAUGAACCAGGGCACUUAGCCAUGCAGGAACAAUGGCAAGCCUCUAGCCUGAUCAGGAGUGGCACUGGGCGCCUCUCUGGAUCAGAAGUGCAGCAGAUACCCACCCCGGAUCCGGAGGGGUGGAAGUCAGCAGCAGGUCUGCAACAGCGGCGAUCAGCAGUGGUGGAUGGCGAGUGAAAGCUGAGCUCCAGCCAGAACAAACACAGAGCAGAAGAGUGUGCAGUUGCAAGAUUUAAUAGAGUGAAAACAGAGCUCCCAUACAAUGGGAGGGGACCCAAAGGGGGUUGCCUGAUCCAGCUCAAAUGCCUGGGUUUAUAUCCUGACCAUGUCCCUCCCCCUGUGCUCUUAGGUGAUAGAUGAUUUGACUAUUUCCUUACCUCCUGCUUUUGGCCUAACUGAUAUUUUAGUGAGCUCUCUUUACUACCUGAUGGGUCAGGUAUGAGCUGAGUUAUAAGCCCCAUGUUUGAAGGUGGGUGUGGUCACCUUCCCCAGCUAGGCUUAGGAAUUCUUAGUCAGCCUAGGAAAUCCAGCUAGUCCUGUCUCUCACUAGUAGGAUUAGAAUUCGACCUUAUCAUUAAAAAUGAGAUAAGGGGACUGUAUUAGUCCAUUCUCAUGCUGCUAUGAAAUUACCCAAGACUGGGUAAUUUAUUAAAAAAAGAGAUUUAA